Long non-coding RNA from Ananas comosus (pineapple), 532 nucleotides. RefSeq lists it as uncharacterized. Lineage: Eukaryota; Viridiplantae; Streptophyta; Magnoliopsida; Poales; Bromeliaceae. The transcript has 2 exons. The record is from RefSeq and is a predicted model, not a curated record.
GAGCAUCAGACCUUGUGUUAUCUGCGGUGAGGCUCACAAGGUUAUUGAGUGCCCACAGCGCCACAAUCACUGUUACAGGUGUGGCCAACGUGGACAUCUUCGGGCAGAUUGCACCAGUGGAGCAGGUACAGCAUCUGCAGCAGCAUCUACUCCAGCAGCUCCAUGGCAGGAUCGUGGCAAUUCGACCUAUUCUUCGGCUGGACGCCCAUCGCCAUCCCGUCAAGUGAAGGAGGUACACCAGACCACUGACGGACGCGCCUUCAUGAUGACACGUCAGGAGGAUGAUCAGUCGGCUGACGUCGCCGCAGGUGACAGAGACGAGGAGUUGGAUUUUGAGCUCGACGAGAGGACGAUCUAGUUAGACGGCAGUAGCGACCGUCACCCUGGUUAUUUCUUUCCCGCUCUUAGUAGUUUUCUUAAUAAAUGGUUCAGUUAGAUGUUUGAAUGUGGUGAUUUUCGUUAUGCAUGAGAUUAUGGAUGUUUUAUUAUACAUGAGAUUGGAGUUUUCGAUCUGUGGUUUUGGUUCUGUGGA